UCAAACUUGGUCAUUUAGAGGAAGUAAAAGUCGUAACAAGGUUUCCGUAGGUGAACCUGCGGAAGGAUCAUUACCAAUCUUUAGUGAGCCUGGACUCUGUUCAUGGUCUCACGAAAUCUUGUAUUUAAAACCCACUCAUAACUAAAAACAUGUAGUAAUAUGAUAAUUAAAGAUCACUUUCAACAACGGAUCUCUUGGCUCUCUCAGAUGUGUAUAAGAGACAGUCAAACUUGGUCAUUUAGAGGAAGUAAAAGUCGUAACAAGGUUUCCGUAGGUGAACCUGCGGAAGGAUCAUUACCAAUCUUUAGUGAGCCUGGACUCUGUUCAUGGUCUCACGAAAUCUUGUAUUUAAAACCCACUCAUAACUAAAAACAUGUAGUAAUAUGAUAAUUAAAGAUCACUUUCAACAACGGAUCUCUUGGCUCUCGCAUCGAUGAAGAACGCAGC
RNAcentral lists this unclassified non-coding RNA (447 nucleotides) under uncultured fungus. Its description in RNAcentral is "partial contains small subunit ribosomal RNA, internal transcribed spacer 1, and 5.8S ribosomal RNA". The stretch from base 1 to 73 matches the Rfam family "Eukaryotic small subunit ribosomal RNA", at positions 1759 to 1831 of the family's 1831-position model. Lineage: Eukaryota; Fungi. The record is from RNAcentral.